This is a long non-coding RNA of Panicum virgatum (switchgrass), 780 nucleotides long. RefSeq lists it as uncharacterized. The record is from RefSeq and is a predicted model, not a curated record. The transcript is spliced from 3 exons. Lineage: Eukaryota; Viridiplantae; Streptophyta; Magnoliopsida; Poales; Poaceae.
AAUUAAACCCAGCCUGCUAGUAGAAAGAAGGCUGAGAUCGGGGCAACGUACGUAGGAGCUCCAUCGAUAGCUAGCGUGCCUAUAUAGUAUAAGCUGGAGGCCUCACGCUCCCUUCUACACCUAUCUUGCUUACGGCCGGGCAAAUUUUUUAGCCAACAGAGAGGAAGCUGCGCUGCUGCUGCUGGGUUGCUAGCCACUAGCUACUAGCUAGAUCCCAAGGCCGAUGGAUCGAUCGAUGGAGAACAACGGCAGGAGCAACCCGCAGCCUCCACUAGGCUAUCCGACGGUUGCUCCGGAUGGCGGCGAGGAGAAGAAGAAGGGGUCGCGUCGCGCGUCGACGACCAAGCGGGGAGACAGCUUUAUCGAAGGAUGCAUCGCUGCGCUCUGCUGCUGCUGGCUCUGCGAUCUCUGCUGCGACUGAAGAGCCUACCGGAAUAACUGAUCGAUCGAGAGGUCAAUCUAGAUGCGACAUGCACAAAGAUCGACAUGGAUUCAUGCUUGUGAUGCGUGGAGCUUCUUUCAUUUUGUCGAGUGGUGAUUUAUAUAUAGUAGUAUAAUUUUACAAGGACAGUGUAACCAAAAAAGUUGUACUUGUGCUAUAACUAAAAACAGGUUGAGUUUGUAAUGUGGACGGGUCUGUGUUAAUCGUACUGGGCAAGGAGCUAACAUGCACGCAGUGGUAUGGAUUUUUGGGUCCACAAGUUUCAUGUUUGUGCGUGCUUCUUUUUUUUCUAUAUAUGUAAGCUUUCCAUAUUACUAAAGGAAAGUUUUUGCUGCCUA